This is a long non-coding RNA of Poecilia latipinna (sailfin molly), 2718 nucleotides long. RefSeq lists it as uncharacterized. The record is from RefSeq and is a predicted model, not a curated record. The transcript has 2 exons. Lineage: Eukaryota; Metazoa; Chordata; Actinopteri; Cyprinodontiformes; Poeciliidae.
UCAGCAAGAUACAGGAGCUUGUUUUAAGUAAAUAAUUCUUUAAUGCUGAUGAAAAAGUGCUAGAUCCACUGGAACUAGCACUUCUUUUGUUCUAAUCGAUACACUUGUCUUAUUUCUACUAGAAAACAGACCACAAAUGCUCAGUAAGAUGUAUUUUCUUCUUUUGCAGUGCAUCAGCUACAGUCAGUGAGAGAACUACUGACAGAGUUUAACCUUUAGAAACGUCUCUGACGUUUCUCUCACCACUGACUAGAGUGAACUGUUUUUCCUGGGCUGCGUCAGGCACCAGGUUUGGUCAAACUGGAAUAUGUCCGACUUCUAGGGAGGAAACAACUGCACGAGCAGCAGGGACUGAUAGUUUAUCAGCUUGUAGCCGUUAACAAAGAGCCAGACUGUUGACAGCACUUUAAAUGCGCUGCAGGAGUCAGACUGCUGUUGUUCGGCUCCGGCUUGCAGCCUAGAAAACUGAUAAUAGAAGCGCUGCAGAGGCCCGUUUCCACUCUGUGAAACACAGUUUGGUAUGACUCCUGCUUGGAUGUUUUGCUGAAAGAAGAAAAACAUAACUGUGACACAUGUGAGUCAUUAAUCCAGAUGAUGAAAUGUUGUUUGUCUGGGGGUUUUCAGAGCUGCGGUUGUCCAGUUUGGUGACUGUCCUGCGAUGUCAUUGUGGAGGAGAGACGGUGGAGUUUCUCGGAUGUCAUCUGCUCCACAUUUCUAUCCUCCACGAAACUUUACAUGAACUAGUAAAGUUUCAAAGAGACCAAGUGUUGUUAAGUUGUUUUGAUCCUUUUCAUUUCAGGGUGGUUGUAUAUAUCUUUUUUUAUGUAUGUGAAGUCCAUAAACUUUUAAAAACACAACAAAUGAAGGAUUCCUUUGAUCCUGCAGUGGUUCAUAAGCUUCAUGUCUCACAGAAAUAUUCAUAGUCCUUCGAAAUGUUCAUAUUAGAGCAAACUUUCUCUGAGACACUUUGUAGCUCUGCCACAUAGCUGGACCUUAGGGGAAUAAAAUACAUAGAAGCUUUCGCUUCUAAGGUAAACAAUAUGUGGAAAAGUUUAUGAGAUGUGAAUAAUUUUGCAAGGCAUUGUGGUUUAGGGUUUACUUUCUUAGCUAUUUACAUUCCGACAUGUUAUAUUUGUAUAAUUAUUUGUAUAACUUGAGCUUCUGUCGGCUAACCAAACAGAAUCCUUCGAGGAACAUGCCUUAAAAAGACAGGAGGAUUUCAGAAACGUUUGAUACCAGAGACAGCAGCAACACACAGCAUGUAUAUAAAUCCUCACCAACAGGCUCCCAAAAUUACAUUCCAAACUUGUAAAUGAGGGCAAUAUGUGGUUCUUUGAGUCUUCACAAACUAUAGCAACCACAGGCCUGAAGCGCCGCUUCCCGCAGGCAUCAGGAAGACGACACUGGUCUCUAGGAAAAGCCCGAGAAGCUGUAAAUCUUGCGCAGCAUGUUGUGCAGCGUGUUGUGCAGCGUGUUGUGCAGCGUGUUGUGCAGUGUGUGCUGCAUGUGAGAAUGAGAAGUUCCCCACUGCUCAGAAAAUACUGUACAUCCCGGCGCGCGCAUGUUGUCUGGAGUCCACCAAGUUCACGUGCCCAAAUCUUUUCCAGAUGUCAGAUAAUCAGUGGAGUGUUUAAACUAUUUUUUCCUAUCUGUGACAGUGCAGCCCCCCCCCUCCUGUACCUCCCACCCGCCUUCUUUUAGGUCCUGCUGCCAACAGCAGCAUGACUGAUUAGUCUCUCCGAGCCAUUUUGGUUUUUCAUUUUGGUUAUGCGCUUCCUUCCAGAGUGGACUUCAUAGGCUCAAAUAAAUACCCAUUAAUCCACAAGCAUCCAUUCCGAUCGUUCCAGCUCGUCCCCACCUGGUGCUCUCCUUACGGUUCUCACCCACCGCAACAAAAAACAAAAGAAGCAACACAAUCGGUUCAACAUGUCUGCCUCUUUGUGUACGUUUUCCUUUACGUUUCCCCAAAGCUCUCCUCCUCAGGCCUCCAAAGAAAGUGAGCUUUUACAGGAAUAGUUUGGCAGCUGGCGAGGCUCGCGGCACUCCGCAGCAGUUUCAUUCCUUUUUUGGCUUUGUUCUCGGUGCGUCAGGCAGAAGCGGCCGGCAGAAAGGAAACACACUUCAUAUCCUCACGGCCCCAUCGCUCACUGCUUUACUGGCUCAGCAUGAACACACUUCAAAGGCCUUUUUGGCAUUCAUUAGGAAUGCUGAAGACAUUCUUCUUUGGAUUGGAGUGCGAAAGAGAUCGCCAUCAAAUGGGAUUAACAGCAGGAGUGGAAGGAGAGGAAGAGGAGGAGGAGAUGCAGAAAGUGAAGAAAUCAGCCAGCAAACGAGUUGGAGCGCAGCAAGCCACGAACUUUCUCACUCUGGAGAGUCUAUUGUGUUAACUAAUCCAUCCGACUCCGCCGGGGAGCUCGGCAAACACACGAACCCCGCCACAUAAACACAGUCUGAGUUUGUUACAGACACCAGUCUGGAGGGAGAACGGGUUUCUGGUGAUGCUUUUCCCCUUCUGGUUUCCUCAGUCUGAACUGGCUCCCUCUUUAUAAGCCUCACCUAAAUGAAUGGGUAUCAAACUCAAGCCUCUGUGUGCUCCCAGAAACACCAGAGAGCCUCUCUGACCACGCAGGAUUUCAGCACAGGCCGAGGAAAGCUAAAAUAAUCUACAUCAUCAUUUGGUCAUUUGGAUUUCUAAAAAAAAAAAAAAAAAAAAAAAAA